This is a long non-coding RNA of Gopherus evgoodei (Goodes thornscrub tortoise), 1154 nucleotides long. RefSeq lists it as uncharacterized. The record is from RefSeq and is a predicted model, not a curated record. Lineage: Eukaryota; Metazoa; Chordata; Testudines; Testudinidae. The transcript is spliced from 4 exons.
CUGCUCCCCACCAGCUGGGACCUGGGUUUGGCUCCGCUGUCCGGCCGUGGCUGAAGACACCUAAUAAACCCGACUGCUUCUGCCACGCUGGCUGAGCGGGACGAUAGUCUAGGGAAGGUGGGGUGCAGUGCUCCCUUUGGGGGUACAGGUCUCCCUCAGGUUCCAACCCAGGGGACUCGACUUGCUGCAGGGAGCUUGUGCUGUGACCCAGGGGUGCUGACGGCUCCAGGGGUCGCUUCCAGGAAGCAGUGAAGCCAAGAGGCUGCCCCUAGUGGAAGAGUGUGACCCUGAGGUGGAUGGGCAAGAGGACCCACCAAGGGGUGGCCAUUGACAGGUGGUGUGACCACCGAGCUCAAAGACUCAGAAUGGCUCUCCUUCAGCCCACAUGGGGAAUUCUGCAUGAAGAGUUUCCCUGGGUGCUGCAUGUGUAACGAGGGAAGUGCACCGGAUGCAAAUCAGAAAUCCUCAGAGACAAUCUGGGUACCCUGAAAAGACUUUUGGGAAACUGGCAGUUUAUUACAUCACUGCCACCAUGUGGGAUUACAAACUGUGACUUACCUGUCCGUGUAUUUUAUCUGCUUUAACCUCUCAGUAACUCUCACUACUUUUCUUAACUAGUAAACCUUUAGCUAGUGUCCUAUAGAACUGGCUACCAGCAUUGUCUUGAGUGUAAGGUCUAGAGAACCAGUUGCUGUGAUGAUGUGAUUUUUGGGGUAAGUGACCAUUUUAUCACUCAGUCCAGUUUCUGUGGCAAGAUAGACUGGAGAAUCUAAGGGGACUGUCUGGGACUCCAUGAUCAUACUCGUAUAGUGAUUCAGGAGUCCACGUUUGUUACUGACUUGGUGAAAUCUAUAGAACAUGCCACCAGCUUGCGGGGGGCUCUGUUUUCUGGGAGUUGCACUCAUGGUCGGGAGCCACUCUAGACAGUGCCACAGAUGACCCAGCAGGGGACGCAGGCACCUCUGAGCAGGGGAAGGGAGCUCCCGGGGACAGGGCUUCACCAGGCUGAGCUCCAGAUUUUGUGGUGGGGAAACUGAGGCACAGCCAGCAAGAUGUCACAGGCCCCACCCCAGAAGCUGAAUUUCAGGCUGAGCUUCAGCCAGAUCCCUCCUUGAAGUUGGACCAGCAGUGCAAAUGCCAUCAGGAGGGCUGCA